RNAcentral lists this transfer RNA (74 nucleotides) under Solirubrobacter pauli. It matches the Rfam family "tRNA". From Rfam's summary of the family: Transfer RNA (tRNA) molecules are approximately 80 nucleotides in length. Their secondary structure includes four short double-helical elements and three loops (D, anti-codon, and T loops). Further hydrogen bonds mediate the characteristic L-shaped molecular structure. tRNAs have two regions of fundamental functional importance: the anti-codon, which is responsible for specific mRNA codon recognition, and the 3' end, to which the tRNAs corresponding amino acid is attached (by aminoacyl-tRNA synthetases). tRNAs cope with the degeneracy of the genetic code in two manners: having more than one tRNA (with a specific anti-codon) for a particular amino acid; and 'wobble' base-pairing, i.e. permitting non-standard base-pairing at the 3rd anti-codon position. The record is from Rfam by way of RNAcentral. Lineage: Bacteria; Bacillati; Actinomycetota; Thermoleophilia; Solirubrobacterales; Solirubrobacteraceae. RNAcentral also lists the same sequence under 7 other names.
GCCCCUGUAGCUCAGCUGGAUAGAGCAGCGGACUUCUAAUCCGCAGGUCGUUGGUUCGAAUCCAACCGGGGGCG